Molecule: ribosomal RNA, 871 nt
Filed under: uncultured bacterium
Lineage: Bacteria
Description: bacterial SSU rRNA
Rfam family: Bacterial small subunit ribosomal RNA
Source: RNAcentral
AAGUNUGAUGUGAGAGCCCCCGGCUCAACCGGGGAGGGUCAUUGGAAACUGGGGAACUUGAGUGCAGAAGAGGAGAGUGGAAUUCCAUGUGUAGCGGUGAAAUGCGUAGAUAUAUGGAGGAACACCAGUGGCGAAGGCGACUCUCUGGUCUGUAACUGACGCUGAGGCUCGAAAGCGUGGGUAGCAAAUAGGAUUAGAUACCCUGGUAGUNCACGCCGUAUACGAUGAGUGCUAAGUGUUGGAGGGUUUCCGCCCUUCAGUGCUGCAGUUAACGCAUUAAGCACUCCGCCUGGGGAGUACGACCGCAAGGUUGAAACUCAAAGGAAUUGACGGGGACCCGCACAAGCGGUGGAGCGUGUGGUUUAAUUCGAAGCAACGCGAAGAACCUUACCAAGUCUUGACAUCCUUUGACCACUCUAGAGAUAGAGCUUUCCCUUCGGGGACAAAGUGACAGGUGGUGCAUGGUUGUCGUCAGCUCGUGUCGUGAGAUGUUGGGUUAAGUCCCGCAACGAGCGCAACCCUUAUUACUAGUUGCCAGCAUUCAGUUGGGCACUCUAGUGAGACUGCCGGUGACAAACCGGAGGAAGGUGGGGAUGACGUCAAAUCAUCAUGCCCCUUAUGACUUGGGCUACACACGUGCUACAAUGGAUGGUACAACGAGCAGCGAACUCGCGAGGGUAAGCGAAUCUCUUAAAGCCAUUCUCAGUUCGGAUUGUAGGCUGCAACUCGCCUACAUGAAGCCGGAAUCGCUAGUAAUCGCGGAUCAGCACGCCGCGGUGAAUACGUUCCCGGGUCUUGUACACACCGCCCGUCACACCACGAGAGUUUGUAACACCCAAAGUCGGUGAGGUAACCAUUNGGAGCCAGCCGC